UGCGCGUCGGACUCUCUCUUCAUUCCACCACUCCAUCGACUUUGCUUCUCUCUCGAUCGGACUCGUUGGUCCAGCUCCCUCUCUCUCUCUCUCUCUCUCUCUCUCUCUCUUUCUCGAACACACACUCACUUAGAAGGAGGUAAGACGUGGAAAAGGGAGACGUAGAAGGGAUGCCAAAGAAAAAGGAAAUGUAAGAGAGAAGAGGACAGAUCGGCGAAGAGCCCUCGGGCCUUGUCUUUCUCUCUCUCUCUCUCUCUCUCUCUCUCUCUCUCUCUCUCUCUCUCUCUCCGUUUCACUUCUCGGUCCCACAGUCGGGGACCAUCGCGGUGGAGUGGGAGGAUGGAGCAAUGUCGGUGUUCACGAAGGAGAGAUAGAGAUAUAUCGGUAGAGCGAGAAGGAGAAAGAGAAAGAAAGAUGGAGGCGUCGUAGGGUGAACAGGUAAGACAGUGUGCGUGUAAGAGGGAAAGAGGGAAAAAGGAGAGAGAGAGAGAGAGAGAGGGAGAGAGAGAGAGAGAGACGAGAAUAUGCGAAGAGAAGAGGGGAACGCGCUCGAGAUCGGUGGAUUUCGUAGGAGCGAGCGAAAGGGAAGACCGUGGUAGAAAGGUGGGAGAGAGAAAGCGAGAGCGUGUGUGUAAGCGAGGGCGAGGAGAGAGGGGAAGGCGAGGAGACACGGAGCUAAGAGCGGGAUGCUGGGAGGCGGCGGUGGCGGCGGCCAUGUUGCCGUAUCCCGAGAGAAGAGAGAACGAUCCGAGAGAGCACCGUGAGGCUGCUUCGUUUGUUGCUUGCAGCGGCGGUCCAAACUUUAAGAAGUUUAAUUCUAUUUUAUACAAACGAUCGUCUUUGCCAGUGCGUUGUGUCAAAAAUACAAGUAUUCCGCGAUCCGUAUCGUCGUCGCCGUCUCCGUCGCCGUCUCCGUUGCCGUUGCCGUCUGAGUUGCCGUUGCCGUUGCCGUUACCGUCGCCGUCCUCUUCGCAAUACUUUUCGUCGCGGCUUCGUCGUUACUGGUCGUACGCACCUUUAGAUUAACGCGGUUUCGACGACGAGGACGACGACGACGACGACGAGGACGACGACGACGACGACGACGACGAGGACGAGGACGACGACGACGACGACGACGACGACGACGCGUACGCGCGUGUGCCUUCUGUGCUUCUUACAUCUUCUCGCGUUUCUUCUAUUUCUGGCAUGUCUCCUAUACUCGAGGAGACUACCGAAUAAUUCGCGGGAAAACUCUUCUUCUUGCGAAGCGCGAGAAAACGCAAAAAGUGCGCGACCGAGAGAAAGGAUUCUCCGAGCGGUGAUCGAAAAGAGAAAACGAAUAAAAGAGGAAAGGUGACGCUAUGACGUGCGACAAGUGAAUUUCGUGAAUCGCUCUGAAGGAAAGACCGGAGGAAGAGGAAGAAGAGAUCGAAACUAUUUUAGCCCUCUUUCAGUUUUUUCGUUUGUGUACGCGAAGAGGAUCACCCUCCGACGGGAUGCCCAAUCUCGAAAGAAAGGUCCUUCGAUAGCACGACGUUUCCAUCGCACUAGCGAAUUUGCGAAAGAAGAAACGACGCCGAUGGACACUAUUAUCCGCUGAGAUGUGAUCCAGAAUACCACAGGGACGCUCGGUAGUUUGUAGUUGGUCCCCCGUUCCCCUUUUACCGCCCCCUCACCCCACCACCCCACACGACUUAUCACCUACUACCUCGCGCUCUCUUUCCCUCUCUCCCUCUCUCUCUCUCUCUCUCUCUCUCUCUCUCUCUCUCUAUCUACCUAUAUAUCUAUCUAUCUAUCUAUCUAUCUAUCUGUCUGUCUGUCUCUUUCCCUUCUUUCCAUCUUUUCAUCCUUCCUUCAACGCCCUCCUGCCCCUUUACAACGAUAAACGUAACCUCACCGAUGCCACAACGUACGACGAUCGAAUCGAUUUUCACACGGAUUCGGCGAACGCGCUUGAAUUCGUAUCGCCGGUUCAUCAUCUCUCGCCUCUUCUAAAUGCACCUUGGACGAAUCCCAACCGCCCGAGCCUCUUCUUCUUCUUCUUCUUCUUCUACUACCACUACUACCACUACUGCUAUCAUUACUACUGCUACUGCUGCUGCUGUUGCUACUACUACUACUAUUACUACUACUACUACUACUACUACUACUACUACUAACGACGUGCCAUAUACACAUAGUAACCUGUGAUACGCUAUCUCAUGCCAAGAAGUACUCCUACCGGUUAGACGUACGUAGAUAUCUAGUCGAAGAUUAGCCGGAAUCGCGACUAGAGGAAAACGGACGAGGAGAAGAAGAAGAAGAAGAGGGAAGAGACGAUCGAGACGCUAUCGAUAGUGAAGGGCAGAAGAAGAUCGGAUCGAAGAACAUAUAUAGGACGUCACGAUACGACGAGGAAGAAGAAUCAGAGGAGAGUGCAGGAGAAUGUCCACGUGCACCGACGAAGGUGACACCGCACCCCUGCACAUGCAGGAGGCUCUGUCUCCGGUGCAGGAGGGACCCGUGUCGCCGGCAUCCUCUUCCUUAAGCAAUCAAAAUCAAAACGAAAACGAUCAACAACAGGUUUUACUGGCGACGAUGCAGCCGGUGAACGUGUUAGAUCUACACGAACCUCCGGCUGUGCAUCCGCUUCAUCCGAAGUAUCAUCAUCACCAUCACCACCGUCACCAUCAUCAUCACCACCAUCAUCAUCAUCAUCAGCAGCAGCAGCAGCAGCAGCAGCAGCAGCAGCAGCAACAGCAGCAACAGCAGCAGCAACACGGUAUUAGCGGGGAUCCGGAGGACGUGCAGCAACGUGGUACGAACGGAGCGGAGGAUCCGGACGGUCGAGUUACGCCGGUAACGGAAACGACUGGUGGAAAUCCAACGUUGGCCGUCGGCGAGCACAAGAUGAUAGAUCUUAUUUACAACGAUGGGCAAAAGACGGUGAUGUACACCCACGACAAGGAGAUAAUAUACGAGAACGAGGCCGAUCGAGUUCAAGUGGUCGAGUAUCCACCACCCCCGCCGUCGCCACCUUCGCCCUCGCCGCCCUCGGUCGUCAGCAGAACCGGACUACUACCGCCGACUUGCGUAGCACCGAGAACAGGGGCUGGUGCGACCACAGCGGCUCUUCAUCUUCAUCACUAUCCUCAAUUGCAGCUGCAACACGAGGACGAGCUACCGAGCGUUCGUCACACCGUAACCGCCACCGCGCCGAAUUGCGGAACCGCCACCACCACCACGACCGUUCUCGUCCUUUCCGAGCUCGUAGCCGCCGAUCCGGCAGCCGGUGCUGCCGCCGCUCAGCAGCUCACGCUAACGGCCGCGGCCGCUGCGGCUUCUCUUCGCGCUGGACGACGAAGUCGCAGCGAGGAAGAGACGAACGGCAGCGUCUCGGUGGGCGACGAGUCUCAGCAACAACAGCAACAACAGCAAGGCUACGUGUCGCAACGAGAGAGUCAAGAGGAGGAGGAAGAAUUAGCGGCGGAGGAAGCUGCCGCGGCUCAGGCUGCGGCUCAGGCUGCGGCUCAGGCUGCGGCUCAGUCCCUUCAGAGUGCCAGCGAGGAGACCGAUCCGGAAGUUCACAAGAGAGUCACUGCGGUGCAGGUGCAGGUUCAGGGUAUGGAGGGCGACUGGCGCGCCUACUGCGAGCAUCCGCUCUCCGUUGCGACCGCGGCAAUGCUAAAUCUCCAACAACAGCAUCAGGUCUCGACUGUCGCCAGCCAUGGCGACGAUCCAGCCGCUUCCUACGUCUACGAGUACUACAAGCUACCGGAAAAGGCCACCACCGACGUCAAGCUACCCCCGACGCACGAGCUUUGGUCCACGGGUGUGAUGGGCCAGAAGCUGCUGGUGCAGGAGGCGCCUGGCUCCGGUUCUGGCUCGGCAAAUCGCAUGGAAGGCGGCGAAGGCGCCGGAGGUGGGGAGCUCCAUCAUUUCCUCCACCAAUACAACCAGCAGUCUCACAGUCCUGGUCAGAGUCUCCAAGGUGGGCUUCCGCUUCCGUUGAGCCCGCAGUCGCUCCGACACGACGGUUCCUCCAGCGCCGGCAUCACCGGAGUUAAGAGGGAACCCGAGGAUCUCAGUUCCUCGCGCGGAGCUCAACAAUCCAGCAAACGUCACAAGCAGGCGCAACCGGAGAGUCCAACGCCGCCGGGAAUGUACCAUCACCAUCAACAUCAGCUACAGGUGCAACAGUACGGAAGUCCGUACGAUCCGUACACCUCGUGCAGUCCACGAUUACAGUCCACCGCGUACACCUCGACGUCCGGAACGAGCGCGACAAAUAACGCGAAUGCGAGUGGCAUUCAUCAGGAAACAACAGCCGUCUACGUAACGGGCGACGCUCUGCCACCGCUCGCAUCCUCGAGCUCUUCCUCGUUGUCGACGAGCACAGCCUCCUACACGAGAUACGAGGUCGUACCGAGCUCUUACGCCACGACGCACGCGAUACGCUCCUCCUCGAGCAGCAGCAAAGUUCUCACCGUCGAUCUACCCAGUCCCGACUCUGGAAUCGGUGCCGACGCCGUCACACCUAGGCAGGAUCAUCACGCACCUACGGCCCUUCAUCAGUCGUCCUUCGACUAUACGGAGCUCUGCCCCGGAGGAACGGCAACUGGUGCAGCGGUCGUUCUCGAGAGCGGAGCCGUGAUACAUCAUCAACCUCUGCAACUGCAGCUACAACAGAGCCAUGCGCAAGCGCAGGUGCAGCGUGGCGGUCUCGUCGCAGCAGGUGCGACCAAUCCUACCACGAAUCCGAAUCCACCGAGGUCAAGACCUUGGCACGAUUUUGGAAGACAGAACGAUGCCGACAAGAUACAGAUACCAAAGAUCUUCUCGGCGUACGGUUUCAAGUAUCAUCUGGAGUCUCCCAUCAGCACGUCUCAACGACGCGAAGACGACAGAAUAACGUACAUCAAUAAGGGUCAAUUCUAUGGUAUAACUCUCGAUUACGUACCGGAUCCGGACAAACCGCUUCUUAAGGCGGGACAAACGGUUAAGAGCGUGGUUAUGCUGAUGUUCCGAGAGGAGAAGAGUCCCGAGGACGAGAUCAAAGCCUGGCAAUUCUGGCAUGGAAGACAGCAUUCCGUAAAGCAACGUAUUCUCGAUGCUGAUACAAAAAACAGCGUUGGUUUGGUGGGUUGCAUAGAGGAAGUCGCACACAAUGCGAUUGCUGUUUAUUGGAAUCCCUUGGAAUCUUCUGCAAAGAUAAAUGUCGCCGUGCAGUGUCUCAGCACAGAUUUCUCCAGUCAGAAGGGCGUAAAGGGCCUACCGCUACAUAUUCAAGUGGACACGUACGAGGAACCUCCACCACACACUCACACUUACACGCCACCCUCGCAUCGCGGUUAUUGUCAGAUCAAAGUCUUUUGCGAUAAGGGAGCGGAAAGGAAGACUCGCGACGAGGAGAGAAGAGCAGCCAAAAGGAAGAUGACGGCUACGGGUAGGAAGAAACUCGACGAACUUUACCACUCUGUCACGGAACGUAGCGAAUUUUAUUCCAUGGUCGAUCUCCACAAGCCACCCGUCCUCUUUUCACCGCCGGCCGAGCAUGCCAUCGACAAGUUUUCGACGAUGGAGUUGUCGGGCUUCUACGGAGGCGGUGGCGGCGGUGGCGGUGGCGACACCGACACCUCGUCACUCAGUAACGGUGAGGGCGGAGGAUUGAAGGCUGGGGGUAGCAGCCCGUAUCCUACUUGCGGUAGACCGAGCCUGCCCGCCUUGAAGUUCCACAACCACUUUCCGCCCGACAAUCUCAGUAAUCUACACGACAAGAAGGACUCCUUAUUGAUGCAGGUGCAGGAACUUCAAGGCUCGGUGCUUCAGGGUGUACAACAGGCCGGACUGGCCGGCACCGUAGUCUCCAGCGUCGGCAAUCGCCUGCACCUGCAGCAACAGCCGUCGCAUUUGCGUCCGGCCGACGCCGAGGAACGUGUCAUGCUAUACGUUCGUCAGGAAUCCGAAGACGUCUACACGCCUCUCCACGUAACGCCGCCAACUGUUCAAGGACUACUCAAUGCUAUUGAGUCAAAGUACAAAAUUGCAUCCUCGAGUAUUAAUAACCUCUAUCGCAAAAACACAAAGGGCAUUACGGCGAAAAUUGAUGACGACAUGAUCAGAUUCUACGUGGACGAAGAUCUGUUUCUCUUGGAGGUGAGUCAUUCGAGAUUGAACGGAGAUGCCGUAAGCGAACGAAAUUCUACCAAUCCUGGCUCGCCGAGCGAUCCAACCGAUCCCGGGGAGGCACCGUCGAGCGGUUACGACGUGACGCUUAUCGAACUACCCUCGUCACCGCCACAUCUCGCCCAUUCGCCCCUUGCCAACUCGACGCACGGUCACGCACACGCGCACGUUCACGAAAGUGGAAACACGUGAAGGUGGGAACUAUCAUCCGGACAUCUUUGAAUCUUUCGACGUGUACAUAGUAGGCGGACGGAUAGUCGGCCGAAGGACGCGAUCCAAGUUCUCCGAAGAGCCAUCCGACCGUCCGCGAACUUUGAGAAUGCUAAUCGAUCUCCGCUGGCGCAAAUACCAGAACGAGCUAAGAUUCAUUCUCUAAUUUCUUAAGGAUCGAGAAUAACUCGAUCGCCUUUUAUCUCACAUCUUUCAGAUGUCCUCAAACUUUAAACAUUUUACUUACUCGUUAGAAUAAGAAAAAAAUAUGUUGCGCCGUACGCAACGUAAAAAGCACGAAUCGAGAUUAAGAUCUUACAUGAGAGAAUGGACGAAGAAGAACCGGUUAGAUUAUAAGAUAGUCGUCGUUUUAAGAUAGAAACAUAUCAUUCUUCGUUGCGUGCAACUAUCGUUACGUGUAAAUCAAUCAAAAUUGAUUUAAGAGGACCAUUGUAUCUUACGUAUACGUAUGACGUAUGUUUAUAUGAGAUUUUUUUCAUUUUAUUUUAUUAUCGUAUCUUUGCGGUUUAGAGUUUAAAUUUUGUUUAUUUUAUUAUAAAAUAUAUCGCACAAAUGCGAAUCUACACGAAUGGAAGGAGAAGAUAGUAUCGAGUGGUCGACCAAGUCGACGUAUUCGAAUUUAUUUUGAAUAUACACCAAACUAUUUCUCAUGUCGACAACGUUAUUUCAAUUAGGAACUCCUUUAAAAAAUGAUCAAUGUAUCUAUUCUAUUUGGAUUCAUUUUAUUAUCGUAUCAGUAAAAGCGUUGAUGUUAUUUUUUACUUGUAAAAGUUCUAAUCCAUACUUUUUAUCAUUGUUGAUGAUAUUUUUAGACAACCUCCCACGUGCUUUAUCGUUAAUAGAUUGAACGACCGACGUUCUUCCAAGUCCUACACAACCUCGAACAACGUAAUCGUAUUACCUUUGACGCUCGCCAUUUGCCGUUUUUAAAUAAUCACAUUAUUUAAACAGAGUUACGUAUGGCAAGGUUUAAUAUCAGAUCGCUACGUAUCAAACCGAACGAAUACAAUAGUUUAUAUUUUAUACCAGUGUGAAAAAGAAGCCAUUGGCAGAGACAAAAAUAUUACAAUUUUAUCGUAGAAUUGCGCGUUCGCGUUUAUGUGUGUAUCCAUAUCGCGUACCGCUUUCUUGUUGUUCGUUAUAAUGUUAGAGAUCCGAUAGAUUAGAUUAGAGAAUAUCACGAUCACGACAUUUAUAUUGUUUUUGCGUUUAAUCAUACGUAUUGUCGAUACCGAUAUCAAAGCAACGAUCAAAAUACGCUUGUAAAAUGCAUAUUAUUAUUGAAUACUAUAUUUUGUUACAUUUAUCGCAGACAGCAUAUAGGUUAAUAUUAUUAAUAUUAUUGUUUCUAUCGAUUAGAGAUAUACCUAUAUCAUUAUUUUUAUACGAGAAUGUAUAAUCGUAUGAGACGUAAAAAAGAAUUUUAGAAUAAAAAGAGAGAGAGAGAGAGAGAGAAAGUAUGUGUGUGCUUGCAGUAUGAGUAGUAUAUGAUUGAAAGAGACGAUGCAUGGAACAGAAAUGAUAUAGAAAGAGAAUGAUUGCGUACGUAUGCGAGUAUAUCGAUGAAGAUGAACAUGAAGAAGGAAAAAAAAUUUUUUAGUUAUGAUUGUUAGCGUUGCUCCAUGACAUUUUUAUAAAUAAUAACUAUAGCAGAGCCCUUUCUUCCCCCGCCCUGACCCACCCCUCCGCCCGUUGGCCGUUCAUUUACGAGAAAAGACACCGUCCCGACGUAUCUUUCUUUCGCAUACGAACGGCUGCGUCGAUGAGCCAUUUUAUUAUUAUUAUUAUUAUUAUUUUAUUAUUAUUACUGAUAAUAUUAUUAUAUCAUCUUUAUAAUACUUAUAACUAUUAAUAUUAUUUCUAUGUUACGAAGGAUAAACGUGUUAACGCUACGAGGAGACUACGAAUCUGAAGAAAUCUUUUGCUAAUUUUUCCAGCCACAGCCACGCAAAUUUAUCAGAAUCCUCUUUGAGGUCUCAAAAAGAAACAAAUCUCUCUGAGCAGUAGCUUACUUUCUAACGAUAGAACGAAAGAUUUGUUCGUUGUUUCCUCGUAGCCAUUUCUUUUUCUUUUUUAUUGAGCCGUGUCGAUAUCGUACUUAAACGACGUAAAUAUGACGAUAUAAAAGAAGAAAGAGAGAGAACAAGAAGAAGGGAUGACUUCUGACUUAUUUGUUAUAAGCGUAUUCUAAUCGCAAGAAAUGUUAUUUCUUUAUCUGUCGCUUAUCCGAUCGACGGAAUAUCCAAUUUUCAGAAUGUAGCGUGGAAAUGUCGUCGGAAAGAGAAAAAGAGAGGGAGAGAGAGGGAGGGAGAGAGAGAGAGAGAGAGAGAGAGAGAGAGAGAGUAUUGAUAACAGAAAGCUGAAAUAUUAAGCAUGUUUUCUUUCUUCCGUCGCGUUGUCUUGCCAUCGUGAGAUUGUGCCAGAGGUGAUAUUAUAUUAUUUCGAUGUUUAUUGCAACAAUAAAUAUUAUAUUAAAGCCCGAACGAGACACACACGAGUCCUCUCUUCGUGGAAACCAGUCAGCGAGGAAUUCAAAAAAGGAGAUCCGGAGCGUGUAAACCUAUAAGGGAAGAUAAACAGGAGGUUGGCUCUCUGGCGAAUGAAGAAAAACGAGGAAGAAAAGAAGAAGAAGAAGAAGAAGAAGAAGAAGAGGACGAAAACGAGAUAGGGGAGGAGAAGAAAACAUCAAGCGAAGAGAAGAAAUCGUGUCGACGACUUUACAGUCAGGGUUCGACGAUCGCUUCACGGAUGAAGCAACGUGACAAGUCGUUCUGACAACUAUUUUGGCGACAUAUCGAUUGCCCUAACGGAUCCAAAAUGAAUCGAGAUGAUCGAUAAGACAAUCAACGAGAAAGAUCCGUCGAAUCUCGUAUAUAAUGAUAAGCGCUCGACUUCUAUCUCUUCUUGUAUGUAAGUUGUAUAAAAAGGUUUCUUCUAGGUGCUCUUCUAUCUUAAAUCGACCAAUACUCGAUUCUUUAAUUAGGAGAUACGCAUAGUCUUAUGAGAACGAAACUAAGAUACAAAGAGGAUAAAUAUGUGAAGAGAGAGAGAGAGAGAGAGAGAAAGGAGAAGAAGGAGAUAAAAGAGGA
Molecule: RNA transcript, 9467 nt
Organism: Vespa crabro (European hornet)
Lineage: Eukaryota; Metazoa; Arthropoda; Insecta; Hymenoptera; Vespidae
Gene: grh
Gene name: protein grainyhead
Exons: 16
Source: RefSeq, a predicted model, not a curated record